Molecule: long non-coding RNA, 221 nt
Organism: Pipra filicauda (Wire-tailed manakin)
Lineage: Eukaryota; Metazoa; Chordata; Aves; Passeriformes; Pipridae
Exons: 3
Source: RefSeq, a predicted model, not a curated record
CACAGUAUAUUUGCUUCCCUUCUUGAUUCCAGGAGGGAUGAAUUGCUGCUGGAUUGACAGAAAUGUGCUGUAGGAUCUCCCAGGUGGGCUCCCCUUGCCAGUGUGUGCUACAAAUCCCCACAUCACAUGGAAAAUUAUCUCAGCUGAAGUGCCAACCCAGGGAAAGAACUUUUAACUCAGACCUGGUCAAGAGUUAUUUGAAAUGACUGCAGCAACUGUUG